UUUGGAAUUUUGGACAAUGGACGAAAGUCUGAUCCAGCGACGCCGCGUGGACGAAGAAGGCCUUCGGGCUGUAAAGUCCUUUUGGCAGGGAAAAAUUUUGAUUGUACCUGCAGAAUAAGAGGUUGCUAACUCUGUGCCAGCAGCAGCGGUAAUACAGAGACCUCAAGCGUUAUCCGGAAUUAUUGGGCGUAAAGCGUACCGACAGGUGGUUUUGAAAGUCAGAGGUGAAAUCACAAAGCUUAACUUUGUGACUGUCCUUUGAAACUUCAAAACUAGAGGGGCAAAGAGGAGACUGGAACAAACGGUGUAGUAGUGAAAUGCGUUGAUAUCGUUUGGAACACCAAUAGCGAAGGCAGGUCUCUGGGUGCCACCUGACACUGCUAGGACGAGAGCGUGGGGAGCGAAUGGGAUUAGAUACCCCUGUAGUCC
This 429-nucleotide ribosomal RNA is filed under the name uncultured bacterium. RNAcentral's name for it is "bacterial SSU rRNA". It matches the Rfam family "Bacterial small subunit ribosomal RNA", at positions 355 to 796 of the family's 1533-position model. The record is from RNAcentral.